RNAcentral lists this long non-coding RNA (203 nucleotides) under Lathyrus oleraceus (garden pea). RNAcentral's name for it is "Pisum sativum (pea) long non-coding RNA (PSAT_LNC041460)". The record is from RNAcentral. Lineage: Eukaryota; Viridiplantae; Streptophyta; Magnoliopsida; Fabales; Fabaceae.
UGAAUUGAAGGGAGUAACGGUCGUGACAACGGUCAAAAACAUUUUACGAGAAAGCAAGUUGUCACGUUCGUGACAGCAUGCGUGACAGGUGUCAUGGGGGUGUGGCGACCGUGACAGCAUGCGUUACGCUCGUCACACCUCUGAUCAUGCAACGGUCAAAACGUUCGUGACAACAUGCGUGUUUAAUUAUUAUUAUAUAUUUU